GCCUUUGUCUCACUUCAGCCAGAGAGCGGGGUUAGGGCUUCAUUGCCUUGUGUCCUCUGCUCCGGGAGACUUCGGUGAUUCUGCCACUCCCUCCGUCGCUCUGUGACCUGCUGGCAUUGAAUGAUUUAUAGCUAAGACUCCAGGACACCCCUGAAGCCGAGAAAUGAAAUCCCAAGUUGACCGUCAAGUCCAACGCUCGCUGCAGACAUCUAGUGGACCCGGCGCUCGCGGACGGAAGCGGACAGACCUAGUUGGAUCCUUAUCCCACCAAUCUGGCCCACCUUUGCUGCCAUCUAACUCCGCUGACCGGCCCACCGUUCCUCCACUGUUCGCUGGUUGACCCGGGCAGCGGAGAGAGGAGGUGCUUCUCUUCUGUCCCACGGCAGGCGGCACCAACAGAAGGCUUCUGCAAAGCUGAGAGCUCCUUUUACCCAUGGAUCAGGAGCAGAGUUUGCAGCUACACUGUCAGGCUGUGUUUGGAUGUUAGCAGUUAGUUUAGCUUUGCGUCUUCAGAGCAAUUGUUCUUAGCUACUUAAAAAAAGAAAAGAAAAGAAAGGAAAAUUUAAAAUUUUCUUCAUUGAUCAUUCAGGAGCAUGUUUAAUUUCCAUGUAUUUGUACAAUUUCAAAAGUUCACCUUGUUGUUGACUUCUAGUUUUAUUCCAUUGUGGUCAGGAAAGAUACUCGAUAUAAUUUCAAUUAUUUUAAAUUUGUUGAGACUUGUUUUGUGGCCUAACAUAUGGUCUAUUCUGGAGAAUGUUUCUUGUGCUGAUGAAAGAAUGUGUUUUUUGCAUCUGUUGGAUGAAAUGUUCUGUAAAUGUCUCUUUGUUAGUCUAAAAUGCAGUUUUUUGUUUUUUGUUUUUUUAGGAGAGUCUCACUCUGUUGCCCAGGCUGGAGUGCAGUAGCAUGAUCUUGACUCACUGCAACCUCCACCUCCCAGGUUCAAGCAAUUCUCAUGCCUCAGCCUCCCAAGUAGCUGGAAUUACAGAUGCCCACCACCACACCCAGCCAAUUUUUGUAUUUUUAGUAGAGACAGUGUUUUACCAUGCUGGCCAGGCUGGUCUCAAACUCCUGGCCUCAAGGGAUCCGCCUGCCUUGGCCUCCCAAGGUGCUGGUACUAUAGGUGUGAGCCACCGCAUCCAGCCUAAAGUACAGUAUAAAUCUAAUGUUUUGUUUUUGAUCUUCUAUCUAGACAAUCUGUUCAGUGCUGAGAAUGGGGUAUUGAAUUCCCCAGCUAUUGUAUUGGCAUCUAUAUCUCCCUUUAGACCUAAUAAUAUUUGGUUUAUAUUAUAUAUCUCGGUGCUCCAGUGUUGGGUGCAUAUAUAUUUAGAAUUGUUACAUCCUUUUGCUGAAUUGAUCCCUUUAUCAAUAUAUAAUAACCUUCAUCUUUUUUUAAUCA
This is a long non-coding RNA of Homo sapiens (human), 1396 nucleotides long. RefSeq lists it as uncharacterized. The transcript is spliced from 3 exons. Lineage: Eukaryota; Metazoa; Chordata; Mammalia; Primates; Hominidae. The record is from RefSeq and is marked validated.